RNAcentral lists this transfer RNA (67 nucleotides) under Dineutus mellyi. RNAcentral's name for it is "tRNA-His". The record is from RNAcentral. Lineage: Eukaryota; Metazoa; Arthropoda; Insecta; Coleoptera; Gyrinidae.
AUUUAAGUAAUUUAUUAAAAAUAUUGAUUUGUGGUAUCAAAAAUGUAGAUUUUAUUUACCUUAAAUU